RNAcentral lists this ribosomal RNA (446 nucleotides) under uncultured bacterium. Its description in RNAcentral is "SSU rRNA". It matches the Rfam family "Bacterial small subunit ribosomal RNA", at positions 26 to 518 of the family's 1533-position model. The record is from RNAcentral.
AGAACGAACGCUGGCGGCAUGCCUAACACAUGCAAGUCGAACGAGACCUUCGGGUCUAGUGGCGCACGGGUGCGUAACGCGUGGGAAUCUGCCCUUGGGUUCGGAAUAACACAGAGAAAUUUGUGCUAAUACCGGAUGAUGUCUUCGGACCAAAGAUUUAUCGCCCAAGGAUGAGCCCGCGUAGGAUUAGGUAGUUGGUGGGGUAAUGGCCUACCAAGCCGACGAUCCUUAGCUGGUCUGAGAGGAUGAUCAGCCACACUGGGACUGAGACACGGCCCAGACUCCUACGGGAGGCAGCAGUGGGGAAUAUUGGACAAUGGGCGAAAGCCUGAUCCAGCAAUGCCGCGUGAGUGAUGAAGGCCUUAGGGUUGUAAAGCUCUUUUACCAGGGAUGAUAAUGACAGUACCUGGAGAAUAAGCUCCGGCUAACUCCGCGCCAGCAGCCGC